This 376-nucleotide long non-coding RNA is filed under the name Citrus sinensis (sweet orange). RNAcentral describes it as "long non-coding RNA (CSIN_LNC003297)". The record is from RNAcentral. Lineage: Eukaryota; Viridiplantae; Streptophyta; Magnoliopsida; Sapindales; Rutaceae.
UCCGAGAUGGUGCGAUUGAUGCAACAGUGGAUCAUGCAAAUGGCUGGAUGGUGUCAAAGGAGACAGGAGACAUCUACUCUACAAACGAACCUCAGCUUGCAUUCAAUUCAAGGAUUGCUUUCUGCCUCAAUAUGCAUAACGAGGCAGUUCGUGCACUUCGUUUUCCCCCAAAUUCCCACAAGGAAAAGGAAAGUGCCGAGAAGAGGAGGGAGAGACAGCAGCAGGAACAAGAGCUUGCAAAACACAUUGCUGAGGAGGAUGACGAUGAGUUUUAAAUUAGUUAUCUGCAAGCACAUCUUUUUUUCCCUACAGAAUGCUUUCAUCUAGUUCCGCACCUUCCUCUGAAAUACUUCUGUUAAAGCAUUCUGAUUUUCGU